AGCAGCCGCGGUAACUCCAGCUCCAAUAGCGUAUAUUAAAGUUGUUGCAGUUAAAAAGCUCGUAGUUGAAUUUCGGGAUCUGUCCAUUGGUCGGGCUUCACGGUCCGUACUGGUGUGAUGGGUUCCUACCUUCUGAAUAACCAGCAUGCCAUUCAUUUGGUGCGUUGGUGAAGCAGAGCUAUUACCUUGAAAAAUUAGAGUGCUUAAAGCAAGCUAGUGCUUGAAUAGAUUAGCAUGGAAUAAUAAAAUAGGACGGCUUGGUUCUAUUUUGUUGGUUUCUAGGAUCACCGUAAUGAUUAAUAGGGAUAGUUGGGGGCAUUAGUAUUCAAUUGUCAGAGGUGAAAUUCUUGGAUUUAUUGAAGACUAACUUCUGCGAAAGCAUUUGCCAAGGAUGUUUUCAUUAAUCAAGAACGAAAGUUAGGGGAUCGAAGACGAUCAGAUACCGUCGUAGUCUUAACCAUAAACUAUGCCGACUAGGGAUCGGACGAUGUUAAUUUUUAAUGUACUCGUUCGGUACG
This 518-nucleotide ribosomal RNA is filed under the name uncultured Acaulospora. RNAcentral describes it as "SSU rRNA". It matches the Rfam family "Eukaryotic small subunit ribosomal RNA", at positions 569 to 1087 of the family's 1831-position model. The record is from RNAcentral. Lineage: Eukaryota; Fungi; Glomeromycota; Glomeromycetes; Diversisporales; Acaulosporaceae.